RNAcentral lists this long non-coding RNA (1261 nucleotides) under Homo sapiens (human). Its description in RNAcentral is "HSALNT0221233". The record is from RNAcentral. Lineage: Eukaryota; Metazoa; Chordata; Mammalia; Primates; Hominidae.
GGUGAGGUCUGGGGGGUGCUCUGAUUUCCAGCACACUGUGGGAGACAGGAAUCAGAUUCCUCAUCUCAGCUCCGACUCCCAGUGGCUGUGAAACUGUAUGAGCCUGAAAAUGCUCCGCCAAGAAUUCUAAUGAGAAACAGAUUUCCUCUGGCUCAGCCUGUCCUUCACCUGCAGACUUCUAAGCAGAGAUACUGCUGUCCACUCCUGCCGAGAGUCCAAGGGGGGUUUGUUUUAAAUUCUCUUCUGCAGCAAUUGGAGCUUUGAACGUUUGAGAACACAUUUCAGAUUUCUCUUCUUUUAUACUUUAGCCAAAAAGCACGGGGUCAAAAUAUGAAAGGAAGCAAACACAGUCAUUUGGUGGAGGGUUGGGGCUAAUCACCCCGAAGUCCUGGUCGUUCAUCAGCAAGCCCUUAAGUUGAAAGUGCAGGGAUCCCAGUUUGCACGGAGAAAUGUUUGUUCUGUCGUGUGAAUGUUCCUGUUUGUGGUCCCACCCACAGACUCCAGCGUGGGUCAAUGACUCUAUUGUGAAGCAAAGAAAGCCAAAGCAAGACCUUAGCCAGAAAGAUGUGAAAGUGGGUUUUGUCCCUUUAACCUGAAACAGACGUUAUGAAAGAGAUUAGUCAACCUCUACUAUGUGGGCUCAGGAAAUGUCCUGAAUUUUCAUAGCUUUGGAGAGUUCUAAGACAAACAUGGUCUCUGCUUUUGCCCUCGCGGUCAGAACCCCAAGCCUGCCUGGCCCCCUGCAGCCCUGCCAUUGUCUCUCACAGCCCCGUCUCUGUCUGUCUUGUUUGCUCUGCUUCCCACAGGCUUUGCCUGCUCAGUCCACAGGGUGGAGGGAGGGUGGGGGCAUUUCUUCCAGCAACCCAGCGCAGACCCUCGACUCCCCCUGGGUUUACACAUCAUUGUGGAAAGAGCGUUCUUUUCAUUUCCUAUGUCAUCCUGUCUCAAAAAAAAAUCCUUAUUUCUUAAAAGCGUCCCUUCCUAUGAGCAAUCAGGAUGGAGGUUUGCUAAAACAUACUUUGGCUUGUGGCUGGGCAUGGUGGCUCACACCUAUAAUCCCAGCACUUUGGGAGGCCGAGGUGGGCAGAUCACCUGAGGUCAGGAGUUCAAGACCAGCCUGGUCAACAUGAUGAAACCCCGUCUGUACUAACAAUACAAAAAUUAACUGGGCAUGGUGGCUCAGGCCUGUAAUCCUAGCUACUAGGAAGGAUGAGGCAGGAGAAUCGCUUGAACCCAGGAGGUGAAGGUUGCAAUGAGUCGA